RNAcentral lists this transfer RNA (72 nucleotides) under Stegodyphus mimosarum. It matches the Rfam family "tRNA". From Rfam's summary of the family: Transfer RNA (tRNA) molecules are approximately 80 nucleotides in length. Lineage: Eukaryota; Metazoa; Arthropoda; Arachnida; Araneae; Eresidae. The record is from Rfam by way of RNAcentral.
GCCUUCGUGGUGUAGUGGUCAGCACGCUGGGCGCGUAUUCAAGAGGUCCUGGUUCAAGUCCCGACGAAGGCG